Molecule: ribosomal RNA, 797 nt
Filed under: uncultured bacterium
Lineage: Bacteria
Description: bacterial SSU rRNA
Rfam family: Bacterial small subunit ribosomal RNA
Source: RNAcentral
GCGAGCGGCGGAUGGGUGAGUAACACGUGGGGAACCUGCCCCUAAGUCUGGGAUACCAUUUGGAAACAGGUGCUAAUACCGGAUAAUAAAGCAGAUCGCAUGAUCAGCUUUUGAAAGGCGGCGUAAGCUGUCGCUAAGGGAUGGCCCCGCGGUGCAUUAGCUAGUUGGUAAGGUAACGGCUUACCAAGGCGACGAUGCAUAGCCGAGUUGAGAGACUGAUCGGCCACAUUGGGACUGAGACACGGCCCAAACUCCUACGGGAGGCAGCAGUAGGGAAUCUUCCACAAUGGAUGCAAGUCUGAUGGAGCAACGCCGCGUGAGUGAAGAAGGUUUUCGGAUCGUAAAGCUCUGUUGUUGGUGAAGAAGGAUAGAGGUAGUAACUGGCCUUUAUUUGACGGUAAUCAACCAGAAAGUCACGGCUAACUACGUGCCAGCAGCCGCGGUAAUACGUAGGUGGCAAGCGUUGUCCGGAUUUAUUGGGCGUAAAGCGAGCGCAGGCGGAAAAAUAAGUCUAAUGUGAAAGCCCUCGGCUUAACCGAGGAACUGCAUCGGAAACUGUUUUUCUUGAGUGCAGAAGAGGAGAGUGGAACUCCAUGUGUAGCGGUGGAAUGCGUAGAUAUAUGGAAGAACACCAGUGGCGAAGGCGGCUCUCUGGUCUGCAACUGACGCUGAGGCUCGAAAGCAUGGGUAGCGAACAGGAUUAGAUACCCUGGUAGUCCAUGCCGUAAACGAUGAGUGCUAAGUGUUGGGAGGUUUCCGCCUCUCAGUGCUGCAGCUAACGCAUUAAGCACUCCGCC